GCGGCGGACGGGUGAGUAACACGUGGGCAACCUGCCCUGCAGACUGGGAUAACUUCGGGAAACCGGAGCUAAUACCGGAUAACACCGAAAACCGCAUGGUUUUCGGUUGAAAGGCGGCUUUUAGCUGUCACUGCAGGAUGGGCCCGCGGCGCAUUAGCUAGUUGGUGAGGUAACGGCUCACCAAGGCGACGAUGCGUAGCCGACCUGAGAGGGUGACCGGCCACACUGGGACUGAGACACGGCCCAGACUCCUACGGGAGGCAGCAGUAGGGAAUCUUCCGCAAUGGACGAAAGUCUGACGGAGCAACGCCGCGUGAGCGAAGAAGGUCUUCGGAUCGUAAAGCUCUGUUGUCAGGGAAGAACAAGUACCGUUCGAACAGGGCGGUACCUUGACGGUACCUGACGAGGAAGCCACGGCUAACUACUUGCCACCAGCCGCGGUAAUAC
RNAcentral lists this ribosomal RNA (447 nucleotides) under Aeribacillus sp. F02C029Y. Its description in RNAcentral is "bacterial SSU rRNA". It matches the Rfam family "Bacterial small subunit ribosomal RNA", at positions 95 to 526 of the family's 1533-position model. Lineage: Bacteria; Bacillati; Bacillota; Bacilli; Caryophanales; Bacillaceae. The record is from RNAcentral. RNAcentral also lists the same sequence under 1 other name.